RNAcentral lists this transfer RNA (74 nucleotides) under Nitrososphaerota archaeon. RNAcentral's name for it is "Thaumarchaeota archaeon tRNA-Lys". It matches the Rfam family "tRNA". Rfam says of the family: Transfer RNA (tRNA) molecules are approximately 80 nucleotides in length. Their secondary structure includes four short double-helical elements and three loops (D, anti-codon, and T loops). Lineage: Archaea; Thermoproteati; Nitrososphaerota. The record is from RNAcentral. RNAcentral also lists the same sequence under 2 other names.
GGGCCCGUAGCUCAGCCAGGUGGAGCGCCGGGCUCUUAACCCGGGGGUCGGGGGUUCAAAUCCCCCCGGGCCCG